GACCCUGAUGGGGACCCGUAGGGUAAAGGUUUUGUUUUUGUUUUUUUUUACGGAAAAGGUUGUGGUUAGGCCCCUUGGAAAGUUGCGACAAAACUCGAGUUAGACAAGGAAGGUCGGAACUAAGUGGCCACAGCAACAAUGCACCAGCAAGCAGGGAGCGUGAUAGGAAGAGCUAAAGAGGAAUCGGGAAACCCUGGAGAUGGGUUUCACCAUGUUUCCCAGCCUUGUCUCAAACUCCUGACCUCAAGUGAUCCGCCGUCUUGGGUCUUCGAAAGUGCUGGGACAGCAGGAGUGAGCCACCGCAUCUGGCCCGGAAAGUGUUUUGGAGCGUAGAAAAAUGCAAAUUAUAGGGCUGCCUUCAAGGAUCCCGAAGGACCCACAGAUUUGCCGCAUCAGGCUCCUAUGCACGCCGAAAUGCCCAGGAGGAUUGACGAGAUUGAGGUCAAGAUCGUGGCCCAGUGUGUGGCGCUCCAAGCCAGCUCUUCCCCUUUCAAAACCAGAAAAGCCGCAUGUUUAGAUCGCUCUAGGAGAUUCAUCUCCAUUACGAUACAGGAUAUGGGCUGUUUGAAAACUAUUUCAUCAUCUUUAUCAUCAUCAUUCAGUUCAGCCACUUGAGAUUUUCGCCUCUCCAAAAAUGUUGGUGUACAAACUGGUGUGGGGCCCUGGAUUCAACAAGUAAAGAUUAUAAUACAUAAAUGUAAAACAUGAUUAUGACUUUACCCAAAAAUAUCAUCUCUCCUCUAUUUUUACAAGUUGUGCCCCAUUAUUUUAGCUCUGUUACCAUCUUUUGGUGAUACUAUUGCAAAGAAUAAAGAACUUAGAUGCUUAUCAAACUUGGUACAGAAAUUCACAAUUAACAAAUAUAGCAUGUUCCAUUAUAAGGUUUUAGGCAGAAAAUUGCUAAAUCAACAAUAAAGAUCUACCAAAUGUCACAAUAUUUAAUUUGAAAUCUUAAAAUGAGAGUAGCAGAAACUGCUUCUCCUCCUUCAAAUUAUUUCUAUAAUAUCUGGUGUCUGGAGUAUUGAAAACCAUUUUACCUGGCUAUCCACAGUCUUCUCAGGAGUGUCAAGAGUACCUGAAACUUUUUUCUUCUUCUUACGUAAAACCUUAAAAUAAAUUUUAAAACACAUCAAUUUGAAUAUUGAUCAGCUACAGUAGUCUUGAAUAUGUUUUCCUACUUAUCCUUCUCUAAUAUCUUGCAUGUAAAAUGAUAAAAAAAAUUUUACCUGGCCUUUUGUAGACGUCUGACGAUUAGUUUUUGAAAUACUUUCCGUUUUCUGUAAAAUCUUUAAUAAAGAAGUUAGAAAUUGA
Molecule: long non-coding RNA, 1311 nt
Filed under: Homo sapiens (human)
Lineage: Eukaryota; Metazoa; Chordata; Mammalia; Primates; Hominidae
Description: NIFK antisense RNA 1
Source: RNAcentral